Oreochromis niloticus (Nile tilapia) is the source of this 920-nucleotide long non-coding RNA. RefSeq lists it as uncharacterized. The transcript is spliced from 2 exons. The record is from RefSeq and is a predicted model, not a curated record. Lineage: Eukaryota; Metazoa; Chordata; Actinopteri; Cichliformes; Cichlidae.
CGAAACUGCAGAAACUCUAUUAGCAAAACGUAUUUCACAUCGGUAUGUCUUAAGAGAUUUACAGUUUGUUUACAACAAUCCCCCCUUUUUGUGUGCAUGAAUGGUACUUUCCAGGAAGUCACAGGAAGUGAAUUUAUUUAUUGCUUAGUGAAAUGACUUGAGAACUAAUGACUGGAGAAGUGGAAAACACACAAACCAUGCUGUUAAACAUGGUGGCUUUUUAAAAAAUAAGAGCCAUAACUGUGUUUACUAACGGCUCCCCCCUGUGGGUAAACAAUCAUGUCAGACUAUAUGAAUGUGUGUGUGGUCAGUAUCCUGAUAUCCUGCUAUCCGUUACAUCUUGUAUUCGGGAAUCUGCUCAGAAGUUACUGUGAUAAUUGGCCAUCAGCCAACAAGAAAGAAAGAUUACACCCGCCUACAGGUUCAUACGAGGACCUCGUCGACACUUUCGGGAGCUUUUUUGGGAUUCGAAAAGGACUGGAUCACAGCUUCCACUUUUGGAGUGUUUUAUGUUGACAGUACUAAGGUACAGGCUCUGACAGCGAAGCUCGCUCAGGGAGUGGGGUUCUCCUGUUAGAAAACAGAGAGACGUCACUGGCGGCAUGCACGGUCCACUCCCCGCAUAUCCAGGAUCAAGGGAAUAAACUACAGAGGGAGAGGCUCCAGGGGAACCUCAUUUGGAGCAGACUGGUGGACAGCAGGAAAACAGAGAUGAGCGUCACAGUGGAGUCUCCAACCUGAGGAGCCUGGAGGUUCCCACUCAGGAGUGGGAGAGGAAUUUAAAUUCAGUUAGAUGUAUUAAUCAAGAAUGAGAGAAUAAAGGAUGAUGUUUGCAAAUGAUAAGAGUACAUCUAUAACAAUAUUCAUUAAAUGACAGGACUGGUGAUGGUCAACAACUGUCAUGAAAACAACAGAACCAA